This 253-nucleotide ribosomal RNA is filed under the name uncultured bacterium. RNAcentral describes it as "partial 16S ribosomal RNA". It matches the Rfam family "Bacterial small subunit ribosomal RNA", at positions 524 to 776 of the family's 1533-position model. The record is from RNAcentral.
UACAGAGGUCUCAAGCGUUGUUCGGAUUCAUUGGGCGUAAAGGGCUCGCAGGUGGUCCGUCGCGUCGUGCGUGAAAGCCCCCGGCUCAACUGGGGAGUGUCGUGCGAUACGGGCGGACUGGAGGCCAGUAGGGGGAUGCGGAAUUCCGGGUGUAGUGGUGGAAUGCGUAGAGAUCCGGAGGAACACCAGCGGCGAAGGCGGCAUCCUGGACUGGUCCUGACACUCAUGAGCGAAAGCGUGGGGAGCGAUCCGG